Molecule: ribosomal RNA, 397 nt
Filed under: uncultured bacterium
Lineage: Bacteria
Description: partial 16S ribosomal RNA
Rfam family: Bacterial small subunit ribosomal RNA
Source: RNAcentral
AUACGUAGGUGGCGAGCGUUGUCCGGAAUGAUUGGGCGUAAAGGGCGCGUAGGCGGCCCGGUAAGUCUGGAGUGAAAGUCCUGUUUUUAAGAUGGGAAUUGCUUUGGAUACUGUCGGGCUUGAGUGCAGGAGAGGUAAGUGGAAUUCCCAGUGUAGCGGUGAAAUGCGUAGAGAUUGGGAGGAACACCAGUAGCGAAGGCGACUUACUGGACUGUAACUGACGCUGAGGCGCGAAAGUGUGGGGAGCAAACAGGAUUAGAUACCCUGGUAGUCCACACUGUAAACGAUGAAUGCUAGGUGUAGGGGGUAUCGACCCCUUCUGUGCCGCAGUCAACACAAUAAGCAUUCCGCCUGGGGAGUACGGCCGCAAGGUUGAAACUCAAAGGAAUUGACGGGG